RNAcentral lists this small nucleolar RNA (96 nucleotides) under Ananas comosus (pineapple). Its description in RNAcentral is "Small nucleolar RNA Z43". It matches the Rfam family "Small nucleolar RNA Z43". From Rfam's summary of the family: Z43 is a member of the C/D class of snoRNA which contain the C (UGAUGA) and D (CUGA) box motifs. Most of the members of the box C/D family function in directing site-specific 2'-O-methylation of substrate RNAs. Lineage: Eukaryota; Viridiplantae; Streptophyta; Magnoliopsida; Poales; Bromeliaceae. The record is from Rfam by way of RNAcentral.
GGAUGAUGACGAUUUACUGUGAAAGGUCUCGUUCGUCGUAAUGGCGAUUUCGCCUUGCCGACCAUCCUGAUAUAUCACCACCCAUAUUCCGAGUCC